CAUUAGGCAUGCAAGGUCGAACGAGAAAUUUCCCGAUUCGUCGGAAAGAGUAUAGUGGCGAAUGGGUGAGUAACGGGUAGGUAUCUACCCAGUAGAUUGGGAUAGCCUCNGGAAACUGAGGGUAAUACCGAAUGAGCCCCCAGUUAUCGGGGGAAAGAUGGCCUCUGUUUUCAAGCGGUCACUACUGGAUGAGCCUGCCCCAUGUUAGCUUGUUGGUGAGGUAAAGGCUCACCAAGGCGAUGAUGUGUAGCCGGCCUUAACGGGUGUUCGGCCACACUGGGAUUGAGAUACGGCCCAGACUCCUACGGGAGGCAGCAGUCGAGAAUCGUCUACAAUGGACGCAAGUCUGAUAGUGCGACGCCGUGUGUACGAAGAAGCCCUUCCGGGUGUAAAGUACUUUUUUGUGAGAUAAAGCUUUGAUAGAUUAAUAGUCUAUUGAAGUUGAU
RNAcentral lists this ribosomal RNA (446 nucleotides) under uncultured bacterium. Its description in RNAcentral is "bacterial SSU rRNA". It matches the Rfam family "Bacterial small subunit ribosomal RNA", at positions 47 to 473 of the family's 1533-position model. The record is from RNAcentral.